This 467-nucleotide ribosomal RNA is filed under the name uncultured bacterium. Its description in RNAcentral is "partial 16S ribosomal RNA". It matches the Rfam family "Bacterial small subunit ribosomal RNA", at positions 28 to 506 of the family's 1533-position model. The record is from RNAcentral.
GACGAACGCUGGCGGCGUGCUUAACACAUGCAAGUCGAACGGAAAGGCCCUGCUUUUGUGGGAUGCUCGAGUGGCGAACGGGUGAGUAACACGUGAGUAACCUGCCCUUGACUUUGGGAUAACUUCAGGAAACUGGGGCUAAUACCGGAUAGGAGCUCCUGCUGCAUGGUGGGGGUUGGAAAGUUUCGGCGGUUGGGGAUGGACUCGCGGCUUAUCAGCUUGUUGGUGGGGUAGUGGCUUACCAAGGCUUUGACGGGUAGCCGGCCUGAGAGGGUGACCGGCCACAUUGGGACUGAGAUACGGCCCAGACUCCUACGGGAGGCAGCAGUGGGGAAUAUUGCACAAUGGGCGGAAGCCUGAUGCAGCAACGCCGCGUGCGGGAUGACGGCCUUCGGGUUGUAAACCGCUUUCGCCUGUGACGAAGCGUGAGUGACGGUAAUGGGUAAAGAAGCACCGGCUAACUACGU